CCCCUGGGCAAAGCAUCAGCAUGACCUGCCUGGAAGGCUCAGUGCCGGGUGCUGCUGUGCCAGUCUCUGUGCUGCUGCCUGGCAGAACCAGGCAGGGGGUGGGUGAGCGGGGCAGGGGGUGCCCCCAUGGCCUUUCCCCCUCCACGGGCACCGUGCACGGCAGAGCAUCCCCAGCACCUCCCCUGGCCCCUCACCUUGCUGGCACGGUACGGGUACAUGGGGGCCUCCGGCACCCCGAGGCACAGCCCGAGGGAUGCCAGUUUGGUGGAGAUGUUGAUGGCCGCGGCCCUGCUGCAGCUCAGCCCCUCCUUCCCUGCGCCUUUCGCCGCCUGCUCCAGGAGCGGCAGGAAUUCCUGAGGUAAAGACACCCACGCUCUGUUCAGGCCUGACAAGCUCCCAGCUUGAGCACUGCCCUGGAGGGCUCUGUCACACACCACGGAUGAGCAGCUGGACGGACACCCCCGGCAGAAGGGCAGGGGAUGGGGAGGAUGCCCCAAGGAGUGGCCGGGCUCCAGCCUUUCCCCUUCCCAGGGAAGGAGCGAGCUGGCACAGCCAGCCUGGGGCGGGCAGGAGCUCCGCCUGGGAAGGAACAAAGGGAGGGAGGUGUCGGGGCUGCGCUGCCGAGCUCCCCUGGGUGGGCAGGGGAGACCCGUGGAGGUGGCCUUAUUCCCAUCAGAGAACAUCCCCCCAAGCAGGAGAAACCCAAAAGGUCCACAUGUACCUUGGUAACCUGCAGUGGCCCAACCACGUUGGUGGCAAACACGGCGAGCAUCUCCUGGGGAUCCAGGGAGUGCAGCGUGGCGUGUGAGCUGACACCUGCGUUGUUGAUGAGCAGGUUCAAGCCCUGGUCCUUCAGAUGAGACCCCACAGCCCCCACGGCCCCUCGGAUGCUGGGCAGGUUCACUGUGUCUGCCAGGGCAAAAAGCAAAGUGGAGCAGAGCUCCUGCAGGUCACACAGCACCCACUGGAGAUCGUGCUGUGGCUGGAAUGGCACUCUCUAAACCAGCAUCAUCCAGAAAGGACACAGCAGGUUUAGCAGGUCAGGUUAUUGAGCACACUGAAAUGAUCAGCAGCUUGUCCUCACCUCUCGGUUUCGCAGGCAAAUUAAACCCAUUUUGGCUGUAUGGGGGCUACUGGUAGGAAAAACUUGCUGUAUUUGCUUGCUGUACUCAAGGAAUUUAUGAUUGCAGAAGGGAUGCUUGGUCCUUGCACACUGAGACUCCCAAAUUUAUUUGCACUGGGAGCCAACACAGAUGGGCACAUUUUAAGGACAGACACCAUCUUUGGGGAAACAACCAAGCUAUGCUCUUCAAGCCCUUCUGUACUUCACAGCAGCUACGGGGGCUGUUAACAUAGAGAGGAUUAUUAGAUUGGAUGAAAAUCCUUUCUGUUCUAUACCACUUUGACCAAUCAUUUUGAGUUACCUUUGCCUUUUUAAACAAUUUGUGCUUAAAUUGAUCUUCCACAGAGCAACUUCCCAUAGUUUUGCAGCCAGUAUGCAAAAAUCCAUCUUUUUUCCUAUCAUUUUCUUCUGUUUAGAUUUUUAUUUGCUUCCUGUUGUUACUCACAAGGAUUUGGAGCUCACAGAUGAGCUAAGGAAAGAAAUGCUGACCGUGGCCACUUCCAAGCAGAUCUCAAACCAACUCUCCUACUUAGGAACCAUCCAGCUCCUCAGGAAGGAGACAACAGAAACAAGCGAAGUAAGGGCUGCAGGACCAGGAAUGGUGGGAAUGGCUGCAGGCCAGCGCUGAGGAGGGGAGGCAAGCACCAAGCGACCUUUGGAAAGGGCUGACAGAUGGUGGCCAAGGACAGCAGCACAGGCAUGCUGAUGGCUUGGGAAUCACAGCCCAGGAGCAGAAAGGAUCCACUGGGGAAGAGAUGAUCUCUCCAUGGGAACAGCCAAGGCUUCAGGCAGGGAGUGGGGCUGUGUUGGGUGGCCAAAGUUCUUGAUCCGGCACCGCACCGUCAUUGUUGCAAAAUGUGGAAUGUGUCUCUAGAUUAUCUAAAGUCAGGAUGUUCUUUGAUGUUAGAUUUUUGUAUACUUUCAAGCCUAAUCAGCAAGAAAGGAGGGCUAAUCAGUGGAACAGGCAGCAGCCAGCAUCCCUUACUCAAGGACAUUCUGGAACUAAUAAGCUUUAGGGAUGACAUUGCUAACUUGGCAAAAUACUCAAGGUCCAUGUGUCCUAGACCUGAACUGUCUUCAUCAUAAUACUAAAAAUCACACUUACAGGUCAAAAGGACCGUGCCCAGGUGAAGACCCUUGCCCUGAGCAUGCGCAGAAUUUAUCUGGGGUUGUGUGAUUUGUAUGGGAAUUACUAAUCAAUCUUAACAGAGCGGACUGAAAAGUUACUGUAACACUUGCAAAGUCACUAACUCGGAAUUUGCGUGUAAACACCAGCGCGGAAAGUCCAGUGGGGCGUGCUGCGCUUGUGGAACACCACCGAGCACCCAGGCUCGGGUAGCUCUGAAAUCAGGAAUCAGUGUCUGUCUGUCUGUCUCUCUCUCUC
This is a long non-coding RNA of Chiroxiphia lanceolata (lance-tailed manakin), 2507 nucleotides long. RefSeq lists it as uncharacterized. The record is from RefSeq and is a predicted model, not a curated record. The transcript is spliced from 3 exons. NCBI's taxonomy places the organism in Eukaryota, Metazoa, Chordata, Aves, Passeriformes, Pipridae.